Molecule: long non-coding RNA, 1026 nt
Filed under: Sander lucioperca (pikeperch)
Lineage: Eukaryota; Metazoa; Chordata; Actinopteri; Perciformes; Percidae
Description: lncRNA (ENSSLUG00000025052.1)
Source: RNAcentral
CUGACCAGACACACUCUCCCAAAGUCAAUAAUCAGAGAUACAGCGCUACACGCCCCUCUGUGCUCCCUUCAGAGCAAUCACCCAUUCAUAAUCCCAUAACCACCGUGUCUGUCCCCCGACUGAGACCGUUUAAACCAAACGCUAACAAAAGAGGUGCUAUACUAAACAACCUAAUUGGAAUUAAAACAACCACUGCAACGAUAGAACAGAAUAGGAAAAUCAAAUGUGGACUAUUAAAUAUUAGAUCUCUGUCAUCGAAAGCAUUAUUGGUAAACGAAUUGAUAUCAGAUAACCACAUUGACUUAUUCUGCCUCACCGAAACCUGGCUGGGCCAUGACGAAUAUGUUAGUUUAAACGAAGCCACUCCUCCCAGUCAUAAUAAUACCCAAAUUCCACGAGGCUCAGGCCGAGGAGGGGGAGUUGCAGCCAUAUUUGACUCGAGCCUGUUAAUUAAUCCUAAACCUAAACUAAAUUAUAACUCGUUUGAAAGCCUUGUUCUUAAUCUUCAACACCCAACAUGGAAAACAGUACAGCCAAUUAUAUUCGUUGUUGUUUACCGAGCACCAGGUCCAUAUUCUGAGUUUUUAUCUGAAUUCUCAGAGUUUUUAUCAUGCAUAGUCCUUCAAUCAGACAAAGUACUUAUUGUAGGUGAUUUUAAUAUCCAUGUGGACAUUGAGAGCAAUAGCCUUAGUACUGCUUUCAAUUCACUGCUAGAUUCUAUUGGUUUCAGUCAGAGGGUGCAUAAGGCCACGCACUGUUUUAACCACACCCUCGACCUUGUGCUAGAAUAUGGCAUCAAAAUUGACGAUUUAAUAGUAUUUCCGCAGAAUCCUUUAUUAUCAGACCAUUUUUUAAUAACUUUCGAAUUCCUACUACCAGACUAUACGAAAUUAAAUAAAAGUUUCUACACUAGAUGCUUAUCUGACAGUGCUAUAGCUAAAUUUAAGGAAGCUAUUCCAACAGCACUUAACUCAAUGUCAUGCCUUAAUAUAACAGAGGACUGUUAUGUUAACUCUAGUCCCUCCC